Molecule: ribosomal RNA, 254 nt
Filed under: uncultured bacterium
Lineage: Bacteria
Description: partial 16S ribosomal RNA
Rfam family: Bacterial small subunit ribosomal RNA
Source: RNAcentral
UACGGAGGGUGCGAGCGUUGUCCGGAAUCACUGGGCGUAAAGGGCGCGUAGGCGGCUUCUCAAGCGUGUGGUGAAAGUCCGGGGCUCAACCCCGGAUCGGCCGUGCGGACUGGGGAGCUCGAGUUCUGUAGAGGCGGGUGGAAUUCCGGGUGUAGCGGUGGAAUGCGUAGAGAUCCGGAAGAACACCGGUGGCGAAGGCGGCCCGCUGGGCAGAGACUGACGCUGAGGCGCGACAGCGUGGGGGAGCAAACAGG